Molecule: ribosomal RNA, 348 nt
Filed under: uncultured bacterium
Lineage: Bacteria
Description: partial 16S ribosomal RNA
Rfam family: Bacterial small subunit ribosomal RNA
Source: RNAcentral
CCUACGGGAGGCAGCAGUGAGGAAUAUUGGUCAAUGGACGGAAGUCUGAACCAGCCAUGCCGCGUGCAGGAAGACGGCCCUAUGAGUUGUAAACUGCUUCUGUACAAGGGUAAACCUUAAUUCGUGUAUUCUGCUGAAUGUACUUUACGAAUAAGGAUCGGCUAACUCCGUGCCAGCAGCCGCGGUAAUACGGGGGAGCCAAGCGUUAUCCGGAUUUGUGGGGUUUAGAGGGUGCGUAGGCGGAUUGAUAAGUUAGAGGUGAUAUGUCCGAGAUUAACUUGGGAACUGCCUUUAAUACUGUGGAUCUAGAGAGUAGGUGCGGGAGGCGGAAUGUAUGGUGUAGCGGUG